This 492-nucleotide ribosomal RNA is filed under the name uncultured bacterium. RNAcentral describes it as "partial 16S ribosomal RNA". It matches the Rfam family "Bacterial small subunit ribosomal RNA", at positions 29 to 507 of the family's 1533-position model. The record is from RNAcentral.
AGUGAACGCUGGCGGUAGGCCUAACACAUGCAAGUCGAACGGCAGCACAGUAAGAGCUUGCUCUUACGGGUGGCGAGUGGCGGGCGGGUGAGGAAUACAUCGGAAUCUACUUUUUCGUGGAGGAUAACGUAGGGAAACUUACGCUAAUACAGCAUACGACCUACGGGUGGAAGCAGUGGAUCUUCGGACCUUUCGCGAUUGAAUGAGCCGAUGUCGGAUUAGCUAGUUGGCGGGGUAAAGGCCCACCAAGGCGACGAUCCGUAGCUGAUCUGAGAGGAUGAUCGGCCACACUGGAACUGAGACACGGUCCAGACUCCUACGGGAGGCAGCAGUGGGGAAUAUUCGACAAAGGGCGAAAGCCUGACGCAGCAAUGCCGCGUGGGUGAAGAAGGCCUUCGGGUUGUAAAGCCCUUUUGUUGGGAAAGAAAAGCAGUAGGUGUAAACCCCGCCGUUUUGACGGUACCCAAAGAAAAAGCAACGGCUAACUUCGUG